CGUAGGGUGCGAGCGUUAAUCGGAAUUACUGGGCGUAAAGUGUGCGCAGGUGGCUGAGCAAGUCGAGUGUGAAAUCCCCGGGCUUAACUUGGGAAUUGCGCUCGAAACUACUUGGCUCGAGUGUGGCAGAGGAAGGUGGAAUUCCAGGUGUAGCGGUGAAAUGCGUAGAGAUCUGGAGGAACACCGAUGGCGAAGGCAGCCUUCCGGGCCAACACUGACGCUCAUGCACGAAAGCGUGGGGAGCAAACAGGAUUAGAUACCCUGGUAGUCCACGCCCUAAACGAUGAUGACUAGUUGUUGGGGGAGUUAAAUCCCCUAGUAACGCAGCUAACGCGUGAAGUCAUCCGCCUGGGGAGUACGGUCGCAAGAUUA
This 372-nucleotide ribosomal RNA is filed under the name uncultured organism. RNAcentral describes it as "bacterial SSU rRNA". It matches the Rfam family "Bacterial small subunit ribosomal RNA", at positions 526 to 896 of the family's 1533-position model. The record is from RNAcentral.